AUGAUUCUUGUUACAGUUUUCUAGUUUUAUCACUGUUUCGGAUUGGAAAACUCAAGGAGGCAGAAAUGUGUUUUAGGAGAAUGUUGGCUGGUGGCCUAAAGCCUGAUGGUUUGACCUCAAGCACAAUAAUGAGAUGGCUUUGUCAGCAGAGAAGGAUGCUUGAUGGAUAUCACUUGAUUGAUGCGAUUGAGCAGUCUGCAGGCGUAUCUUCUAUAGAUUCUGAUAUUUAUUCUAUUCAAGCACAAUAAUUAGAUGGCUUUGUCAGCAGAGAAGGAUGCUUGAUGGAUAUCACUUGAUUGAUGCGAUUGAGCAGUCUGCAGGCAUAUCUUCUAUGGAUUCUGAUAUUUAUUCUAUACUUAUGGC
Molecule: long non-coding RNA, 363 nt
Filed under: Nicotiana benthamiana
Lineage: Eukaryota; Viridiplantae; Streptophyta; Magnoliopsida; Solanales; Solanaceae
Description: long non-coding RNA (NBEN_LNC026750)
Source: RNAcentral